Molecule: ribosomal RNA, 370 nt
Filed under: uncultured bacterium
Lineage: Bacteria
Description: bacterial SSU rRNA
Rfam family: Bacterial small subunit ribosomal RNA
Source: RNAcentral
CCUGAUCCAGCCAUGCCGCGUGAGUGAUGAAGGCCUUAGGGUUGUAAAGCUCUUUUACCAGGGAAGAUAAUGACGGUACCUGGAGAAUAAGCCCCGGCUAACUUCGUGCCAGCAGCCGCGGUAAUACGAAGGGGGCUAGCGUUGCUCGGAAUCACUGGGCGUAAAGCGCACGUAGGUGGGUCGUUAAGGCGGGGGUGAAAUCCCGGAGCUCAACUCCGGAACUGCCUUCGAUACUGGCGACCUUGGCGUCCGGGAGAGGUGAGUGGAACUGCGAGUGUAGAGGUGAAAUGCGUAGAUAUCAGGAGGAACACCGGCGGCGUAGACGGCUUGCUAGACCAUAACUGACGCUGAGGCACGAAAGCGUGGGUAG